This 64-nucleotide transfer RNA is filed under the name Mus musculus (house mouse). RNAcentral's name for it is "tRNA-Asn". Lineage: Eukaryota; Metazoa; Chordata; Mammalia; Rodentia; Muridae. The record is from RNAcentral.
GACGGCUCAGUGGUUAAGAGCACUGACUGUUCUUCAAAGGUCCUGAGUUCAAAUCUCAGAAACA